CGGUAAUACGUAGUGCAGCGUAUCCGAUUUAUUGGGCGUAAAGCGAGCGCAGGCGGUUUUUAAGUCUGAUGUGAAAGCCCUCGGCUUAACCGAGGAAGCGCAUCGGAAACUGGGAAACUUGAGUGCAGAAGAGGACAGUGGAACUCCAUGUGUAGCGGUGAAAUGCGUAGAUAUAUGGAAGAACACCAGUGGCGAAGGCGGCUGUCUGGUCUGUAACUGACGCUGAGGCUCGAAAGCAUGGGUAGCGAACAGGAUUAGAUACCCUGGUAGUCCAUGCCGUAAACGAUGAAUGCUAGGUGUUGGAGGGUUUCCGCCCUUCAGUGCCGCAGCUAACGCAUUAAGCAUUCCGCCUGGGGAGUACGACCGCAAGGUUGAAACUCAAAGGAAUUGACGGGGGCCCGCACAAGCGGUGGAGCAUGUGGUUUAAUUCGAAGCAACGCGAAGAACCUUACCAGGUCUUGACAUCUUUUGAUCACCUGAGAGAUCAGGUUUCCCCUUCGGGGGCAAAAUGACAGGUGGUGCAUGGUUGUCGUCAGCUCGUGUCGUGAGAUGUUGGGUUAAGUCCCGCAACGAGCGCAACCCUUAUGACUAGUUGCCAGCAUUUAGUUGGGCACUCUAGUAAGACUGCCGGUGACAAACCGGAGGAAGGUGGGGAUGACGUCAAAUCAUCAUGCCCCUUAUGACCUGGGCUACACACGUGCUACAAUGGAUGGUACAACGAGUUGCGAGACCGCGAGGUCAAGCUAAUCUCUUAAAGCCAUUCUCAGUUCGGACUGUAGGCUGCAACUCGCCUACACGAAGUCGGAAUCGCUAGUAAUCGCGGAUCAGCACGCCGCGGUGAAUACGUUCCCGGGCCUUGUACACACCGCCCGUCACACCAUGAGAGUUUGUAACACCCGAAGCCGGUGGCGUAACC
This 916-nucleotide ribosomal RNA is filed under the name Lacticaseibacillus casei. Its description in RNAcentral is "bacterial SSU rRNA". It matches the Rfam family "Bacterial small subunit ribosomal RNA", at positions 518 to 1440 of the family's 1533-position model. Lineage: Bacteria; Bacillati; Bacillota; Bacilli; Lactobacillales; Lactobacillaceae. The record is from RNAcentral.